RNAcentral lists this ribosomal RNA (409 nucleotides) under bacterium. RNAcentral's name for it is "partial 16S ribosomal RNA". It matches the Rfam family "Bacterial small subunit ribosomal RNA", at positions 355 to 776 of the family's 1533-position model. The record is from RNAcentral.
UGGGGAAUAUUGCACAAUGGGCGAAAGCCUGAUGCAGCGACGCCGUGUGAGGGAUGACGGCCUUCGGGUUGUAAACCUCUUUCAGUAGGGACGAAGCGCAAGUGACGGUACCUGCAGAAGAAGCACCGGCUAACUACGUGCCAGCAGCCGCGGUAAUACGUAGGGUGCGAGCGUUGUCCGGAAUUACUGGGCGUAAAGAGCUCGUAGGCGGUUUGUCACGUCGUCUGUGAAAUCCUAGGGCUUAACCCUGGACGUGCAGGCGAUACGGGCUGACUUGAGUACUACAGGGGAGACUGGAAUUUCUGGUGUAGCGGUGGAAUGCACAGAUAUCAGGAAGAACACCGAUGGCGAAGGCAGGUCUCUGGGUAGUAACUGACGCUGAGGAGCGAAAGCAUGGGUAGCGAACAGG